GGGUUGUGAGGUUAAGCGACUAAGCGUACACGGUGGAUGCCCUGGCAGUCAGAGGCGAUGAAGGACGUGCUAAUCUGCGAAAAGCGUCGGUAAGGUGAUAUGAACCGUUACAGCCGGCGAUGUCCGAAUGGGGAAACCCAGUGCAAUUCGUUGCACUAUCGUUAACUGAAUACAUAGGUUAACGAGGCGAACCGGGGGAACUGAAACAUCUAAGUACCCCGAGGAAAAGAAAUCAACCGAGAUUCCCCCAGUAGCGGCGAGCGAACGGGGAGCAGCCCAGAGUCUGAAUCAGCUUGUGUGUUAGUGGAACGGUCUGGAAAGUCCGACGGUACAGGGUGAUAGUCCCGUACACCAAAAUGCACAGGUUGUGAACUCGAAGAGUAGGGCGGGACACGUGGUAUCCUGUCUGAAUAUGGGGGGACCAUCCUCCAAGGCUAAAUACUCCUGACUGACCGAUAGUGAACCAGUACCGUGAGGGAAAGGCGAAAAGAACCCCGGCGAGGGGAGUGAAAAAGAACCUGAAACCGUGUACGUACAAGCAGUGGGAGCACCUUCGGGUGUGACUGCGUACCUUUUGUAUAAUGGGUCAGCGACUUAUAUUCUGUAGCAAGGUUAACCGUAUAGGGGAGCCGCAGGGAAACCGAGUCUUAACUGGGCGUUAAGUUGCAGGGUAUAGACCCGAAACCCGGUGAUCUAGCCAUGGGCAGGUUGAAGGUUGGGUAACACUAACUGGAGGACCGAACCGACUAAUGUUGAAAAAUUAGCGGAUGACUUGUGGCUGGGGGUGAAAGGCCAAUCAAACCGGGAGAUAGCUGGUUCUCCCCGAAAGCUAUUUAGGUAGCGCCUCGUGAAUUCAUCUUCGGGGGUAGAGCACUGUUUCGGCUAGGGGGUCAUCCCGACUUACCAACCCGAUGCAAACUACGAAUACCGAAGAAUGUUAUCACGGGAGACACACGGCGGGUGCUAACGUCCGUCGUGAAGAGGGAAACAACCCAGACCGCCAGCUAAGGUCCCAAAGUCAUGGUUAAGUGGGAAACGAUGUGGGAAGGCACAGACAGCCAGGAUGUUGGCUUAGAAGCAGCCAUCAUUUAAAGAAAGCGUAAUAGCUCACUGGUCGAGUCGGCCUGCGCGGAAGAUGUAACGGGGCUAAACCAUGCACCGAAGCUGCGGCAGCGACACUAUGUGUUGUUGGGUAGGGGAGCGUUCUGUAAGCCUGCGAAGGUGUGCUGUGAGGCAUGCUGGAGGUAUCAGAAGUGCGAAUGCUGACAUAAGUAACGAUAAAGCGGGUGAAAAGCCCGCUCGCCGGAAGACCAAGGGUUCCUGUCCAACGUUAAUCGGGGCAGGGUGAGUCGACCCCUAAGGCGAGGCCGAAAGGCGUAGUCGAUGGGAAACAGGUUAAUAUUCCUGUACUUGGUGUUACUGCGAAGGGGGGACGGAGAAGGCUAUGUUAGCCGGGCGACGGUUGUCCCGGUUUAAGCAUGUAGGCUGGUUAUCCAGGCAAAUCCGGAUAAUCAAGGCUGAGGUGUGAUGACGAGGCACUACGGUGCUGAAGUAACAAAUGCCCUGCUUCCAGGAAAAGCCUCUAAGCAUCAGGUAACAUCAAAUCGUACCCCAAACCGACACAGGUGGUCAGGUAGAGAAUACCAAGGCGCUUGAGAGAACUCGGGUGAAGGAACUAGGCAAAAUGGUGCCGUAACUUCGGGAGAAGGCACGCUGGUGUGUAGGUGAAGUCCCUGCGGAUGGAGCUGAGACCAGUCGAAGAUACCAGCUGGCUGCAACUGUUUAUUAAAAACACAGCACUGUGCAAACACGAAAGUGGACGUAUACGGUGUGACGCCUGCCCGGUGCCGGAAGGUUAAUUGAUGGGGUUAUCCGUAAGGAGAAGCUCUUGAUCGAAGCCCCGGUAAACGGCGGCCGUAACUAUAACGGUCCUAAGGUAGCGAAAUUCCUUGUCGGGUAAGUUCCGACCUGCACGAAUGGCGUAAUGAUGGCCAGGCUGUCUCCACCCGAGACUCAGUGAAAUUGAACUCGCUGUGAAGAUGCAGUGUACCCGCGGCAAGACGGAAAGACCCCGUGAACCUUUACUAUAGCUUGACACUGAACAUUGAGCCUUGAUGUGUAGGAUAGGUGGGAGGCUUUGAAGCGUGGACGCCAGUCUGCGUGGAGCCAACCUUGAAAUACCACCCUUUAAUGUUUGAUGUUCUAACGUUGGCCCCUUACCGGGGUUGCGGACAGUGUCUGGUGGGUAGUUUGACUGGGGCGGUCUCCUCCCAAAGCGUAACGGAGGAGCACGAAGGUUAGCUAAUCCUGGUCGGACAUCAGGAGGUUAGUGCAAUGGCAUAAGCUAGCUUGACUGCGAGCGUGACGGCGCGAGCAGGUGCGAAAGCAGGUCAUAGUGAUCCGGUGGUUCUGAAUGGAAGGGCCAUCGCUCAACGGAUAAAAGGUACUCCGGGGAUAACAGGCUGAUACCGCCCAAGAGUUCAUAUCGACGGCGGUGUUUGGCACCUCGAUGUCGGCUCAUCACAUCCUGGGGCUGAAGUAGGUCCCAAGGGUAUGGCUGUUCGCCAUUUAAAGUGGUACGCGAGCUGGGUUUAGAACGUCGUGAGACAGUUCGGUCCCUAUCUGCCGUGGGCGCUGGAGAAUUGAGGGGGGCUGCUCCUAGUACGAGAGGACCGGAGUGGACGCAUCACUGGUGUUCGGGUUGUCAUGCCAAUGGCACUGCCCGGUAGCUAAAUGCGGAAGAGAUAAGUGCUGAAAGCAUCUAAGCACGAAACUUGCCCCGAGAUGAGUUCUCCCUGAGACUUUAAGUCUCCUGAAGGAACGUUGAAGACGACGACGUUGAUAGGCCGGGUGUGUAAGCGCAGCGAUGCGUUGAGCUAACCGGUACUAAUGAACCGUGAGGCUUAACCUUACAACGCCGAAG
This 2923-nucleotide ribosomal RNA is filed under the name Klebsiella pneumoniae. RNAcentral describes it as "bacterial LSU rRNA". It matches the Rfam family "Bacterial large subunit ribosomal RNA". Lineage: Bacteria; Pseudomonadati; Pseudomonadota; Gammaproteobacteria; Enterobacterales; Enterobacteriaceae. The record is from RNAcentral.